CGGGGGCCCUUAUAAUGCAAGUCGACGAUAUUAAGGAGCUUGCUCCUUAAGAAAGUGGCGCACGGGUGCGUAACGCGUAUGCAACCUACCUUAAUCAGGGGGAUAGCCCGAAGAAAUUCGGAUUAACACCGCAUAAAAACACAGGAUAGCAUUAUCCAAUGUUCAAAUAUUUAUAGGAUUAAGAUGGGCAUGCGUGUCAUUAGCUAGUUGGCGGGGUAACGGCCCACCAAGGCGACGAUGACUAGGGGAUCUGAGAGGAUGACCCCCCACACUGGUACUGAGACACGGACCAGACUCCUACGGGAGGCAGCAGUAAGGAAUAUUGGUCAAUGGAGGCAACUCUGAACCAGCCAUGCCGCGUGCAGGAAGACAGCCCUCUGGGUCGUAAACUGCUUUUAUUCGGGAAUAAACCACAUUACGUGUAAUGUGCUGAAUGUACCGAAGGAAUAAGGAUCGGCUAACUCCGUGCCAGCAGCCGCGGUAAUACGGAGGAUCCAAGCGUUAUCCGGAUUUAUUGGGUUUAAAGGGUGCGUAGGCGGCUUAUUAAGUCAGGGGUGAAAGACGGUGGCUCAACCAUCGCAGUGCCCUUGAUACUGAUGAGCUUGAAUACACUAGAGGUAGGCGGAAUGUGACAAGUAGCGGUGAAAUGCAUAGAUAUGUCACAGAACACCGAUUGCGAAGGCAGCUUACUAUGGUGUGAUUGACGCUGAGGCACGAAAGCGUGGGGAUCAAACAGGAUUAGAUACCCUGGUAGUCCACGCCCUAAAACGAUGAAUACUCGCUGUUAGCGAUACACAGUUAGCGGCUAAGCGAAAGCGUUAAGUAUUCCACCUGGGGAGUACGGUCGCAAGAUUGAAACUCAAAGGAAUUGACGGGGGCCCGCACAAGCGGAGGAGCAUGUGGUUUAAUUCGAUGAUACGCGAGGAACCUUACCCGGGCUUGAAGGUAAGUGAUCAUUUAGAGAUAGAUGAGUGAGCAAUCACACGAAACUAGGUGCUGCAUGGCUGUCGUCAGCUCGUGCCGUGAGGUGUUGGGUUAAGUCCCGCAACGAGCGCAACCCCUAUGUUUAGUUGCCAGCACGUUAAAGUUGGGGACUCUUAAACAGAACUGCCUGUGCAAACAGAGAGGAAGGAGGGGAACGACGUCAAGUCAUUCAUGGCCCUUUAACGUUCCGGGGGCUCUCCAAUC
RNAcentral lists this ribosomal RNA (1188 nucleotides) under bacterium. RNAcentral's name for it is "bacterial SSU rRNA". It matches the Rfam family "Bacterial small subunit ribosomal RNA", at positions 40 to 1224 of the family's 1533-position model. The record is from RNAcentral.